This 451-nucleotide ribosomal RNA is filed under the name uncultured bacterium. Its description in RNAcentral is "bacterial SSU rRNA". It matches the Rfam family "Bacterial small subunit ribosomal RNA", at positions 354 to 796 of the family's 1533-position model. The record is from RNAcentral.
GUGGGGAAUUUUGCGCAAUGGGGGAAACCCUGACGCAGCAACGCCGCGUGAGUGAUGAAGGCCUUCGGGUUGUAAAGCUCUUUGAGUGGGGACGAAGCCCCACGGGACGAAUAAUCCCGUGGUCUGACGGUACCCACAGAACAAGUUCCGGCUAACUACGUGCCAGCAGCCGCGGUAAUACGUAGGGAGCAAGCGUUGUUCGGAAUUAUUGGGCGUAAAGAGCGCGUAGGCUGUUCGGUAAGUCCGAUGUGAAAGCCCAUGGCUUAACCGUGGAACUGCAUUGGAAACUGCCGGGCUGGAGUGCGGGAGAGGAGAGUGGAAUUCCCAGUGUAGAGGUGAAAUUCGUAGAUAUUGGGAGGAACACCGGUGGCGAAGGCGGCUCUCUGGACCGCAACUGACGCUGAGGCGCGAAAGCUAGGGGAGCAAACGGGAUUAGAUACCCUAGUAGUCC